UACGUAGGGUGCGAGCGUUGUCCGGAAUUACUGGGCGUAAAGAGCUCGUAGGUGGUUUGUCGCGUUGUUCGUGAAAACUCACAGCUCAACUGUGGGCGUGCGGGCGAUACGGGCAGACUGGAGUACUGCAGGGGAGACUGGAAUUCCUGGUGUAGCGGUGGAAUGCGCAGAUAUCAGGAGGAACACCGGUGGCGAAGGCGGUUCUCUGGGCAUACCUGACGCUGAGGAGCGAAAGUGUCGGGAGGCGAACAGG
This 253-nucleotide ribosomal RNA is filed under the name uncultured bacterium. Its description in RNAcentral is "partial 16S ribosomal RNA". It matches the Rfam family "Bacterial small subunit ribosomal RNA", at positions 524 to 776 of the family's 1533-position model. The record is from RNAcentral.